This 73-nucleotide transfer RNA is filed under the name Fasciola hepatica (liver fluke). RNAcentral describes it as "tRNA-Thr". Lineage: Eukaryota; Metazoa; Platyhelminthes; Trematoda; Plagiorchiida; Fasciolidae. The record is from RNAcentral.
ACCGCGAUAGCUCAGCUGGUACAGCAUCUGCCCGGUAUGCAGAGGGUCGCCGGUUCGAUCGUGGCUCGCAGCG